GAUGAACGCUGGCGGCGUGCCUAACACAUGCAAGUCGAACGGGGAUUACGGACGGAAGUUUUCGGAUGGAAGCCUGUAAUUCUUAGUGGCGGACGGGUGAGUAACGCGUGGGCAACCUGCCCUAUACAGGGGGAUAGCAGCUGGAAACGGCUGGUAAGACCGCAUAAGUCGGUUAAAUCGCAUGAUUUGAUCGGGAAAUGAGCAAUCAGGUAUAGGAUGGGCCCGCGUCCGAUUAGCCAGUUGGCAGGGUAAAAGCCUACCAAAGCGACGAUCGGUAGCCGGACUGAGAGGUCGGACGGCCACAUUGGGACUGAGACACGGCCCAAACUCCUACGGGAGGCAGCAGUGGGGGAUAUUGCACAAUGGAGGAAACUCUGAUGCAGCGACGCCGCGUGAGUGAAGAAGUAUUUCGGUAUGUAAAGCUCUAUCAGCAGGGAAGAUGAUGACGGUACCUGACUAAGAAGCCCCGGCUAACUACGUG
This 481-nucleotide ribosomal RNA is filed under the name uncultured bacterium. RNAcentral describes it as "partial 16S ribosomal RNA". It matches the Rfam family "Bacterial small subunit ribosomal RNA", at positions 28 to 507 of the family's 1533-position model. The record is from RNAcentral.